RNAcentral lists this ribosomal RNA (1554 nucleotides) under Escherichia coli. RNAcentral's name for it is "bacterial SSU rRNA". It matches the Rfam family "Bacterial small subunit ribosomal RNA". The record is from RNAcentral. Lineage: Bacteria; Pseudomonadati; Pseudomonadota; Gammaproteobacteria; Enterobacterales; Enterobacteriaceae.
AAAUUGAAGAGUUUGAUCAUGGCUCAGAUUGAACGCUGGCGGCAGGCCUAACACAUGCAAGUCGAACGGUAACAGGAAACAGCUUGCUGUUUCGCUGACGAGUGGCGGACGGGUGAGUAAUGUCUGGGAAACUGCCUGAUGGAGGGGGAUAACUACUGGAAACGGUAGCUAAUACCGCAUAACGUCGCAAGACCAAAGAGGGGGACCUUCGGGCCUCUUGCCAUCGGAUGUGCCCAGAUGGGAUUAGCUUGUUGGUGGGGUAACGGCUCACCAAGGCGACGAUCCCUAGCUGGUCUGAGAGGAUGACCAGCCACACUGGAACUGAGACACGGUCCAGACUCCUACGGGAGGCAGCAGUGGGGAAUAUUGCACAAUGGGCGCAAGCCUGAUGCAGCCAUGCCACGUGUAUGAAGAAGGCCUUCGGGUUGUAAAGUACUUUCAGCGGGGAGGAAGGGAGUAAAGUUAAUACCUUUGCUCAUUGACGUUACCCGCAGAAGAAGCACCGGCUAACUCCGUGCCAGCAGCCGCGGUAAUACGGAGGGUGCAAGCGUUAAUCGGAAUUACUGGGCGUAAAGCGCACGCAGGCGGUUUGUUAAGUCAGAUGUGAAAUCCCCGGGCUCAACCUGGGAACUGCAUCUGAUACUGGCAAGCUUGAGUCUCGUAGAGGGGGGUAGAAUUCCAGGUGUAGCGGUGAAAUGCGUAGAGAUCUGGAGGAAUACCGGUGGCGAAGGCGGCCCCCUGGACGAAGACUGACGCUCAGGUGCGAAAGCGUGGGGAGCAAACAGGAUUAGAUACCCUGGUAGUCCACGCCGUAAACGAUGUCGACUUGGAGGUUGUGCCCUUGAGGCGUGGCUUCCGGAGCUAACGCGUUAAGUCGACCGCCUGGGGAGUACGGCCGCAAGGUUAAAACUCAAAUGAAUUGACGGGGGCCCGCACAAGCGGUGGAGCAUGUGGUUUAAUUCGAUGCAACGCGAAGAACCUUACCUGGUCUUGACAUCCACAGAACUUUCCAGAGAUGGAUUGGUGCCUUCGGGAACUGUGAGACAGGUGCUGCAUGGCUGUCGUCAGCUCGUGUUGUGAAAUGUUGGGUUAAGUCCCGCAACGAGCGCAACCCUUAUCCUUUGUUGCCAGCGGUCCGGCCGGGAACUCAAAGGAGACUGCCAGUGAUAAACUGGAGGAAGGUGGGGAUGACGUCAAGUCAUCAUGGCCCUUACGACCAGGGCUACACACGUGCUACAAUGGCGCAUACAAAGAGAAGCGACCUCGCGAGAGCAAGCGGACCUCAUAAAGUGCGUCGUAGUCCGGAUUGGAGUCUGCAACUCGACUCCAUGAAGUCGGAAUCGCUAGUAAUCGUGGAUCAGAAUGCCACGGUGAAUACGUUCCCGGGCCUUGUACACACCGCCCGUCACACCAUGGGAGUGGGUUGCAAAAGAAGUAGGUAGCUUAACCUUCGGGAGGGCGCUUACCACUUUGUGAUUCAUGACUGGGGUGAAGUCGUAACAAGGUAACCGUAGGGGAACCUGCGGUUGGAUCACCUCCUUACCUUAAAGAAGC